RNAcentral lists this ribosomal RNA (465 nucleotides) under uncultured Nitrososphaerota archaeon. Its description in RNAcentral is "bacterial SSU rRNA". It matches the Rfam family "Archaeal small subunit ribosomal RNA", at positions 340 to 808 of the family's 1478-position model. The record is from RNAcentral. Lineage: Archaea; Thermoproteati; Nitrososphaerota.
CGAGAAAACUUUGCAAUGUGCGCAAGCACGACAAGGUUAAUCCGAGUGUUUCCUGCUAAAGGAAUCUUUUGUUAGUCCUAAAAACACUAGCGAAUAAGGGGUGGGCAAGUUCUGGUGUCAGCCGCCGCGGUAAAACCAGCACCUCAAGUGGUCAGGAGGAUUAUUGGGCCUAAAGCAUCCGUAGCCUGCUCUGUUAAUUUCGGUAAAUCUGUACGCUCAACGUACAGGCUGCCGGGAAUACUGCAGAGCUAGGGAGUGGGAGAGGUAGACGGUACUCGGUAGGAAGGGGUAAAAUCCUUUGAUCUAUUGAUGACCACCUGUGGCGAAGGCGGUCUACCAGAACACGUCCGACGGUGAGGGAUGAAAGCUGGGGGAGCAAACCGGAUUAGAUACCCGGGUAGUCCCAGCUGUAAACCAUGCAAACUCAGUGAUGCAUUGGCUUGUGGCCAAUGCAGUGCUGCAGGG